UACGUAGGGAGCAAGCGUUGUCCGGAAUCAUUGGGCGUAAAGCGCGCGUAGGCGGCCCCGUAAGUCCGCUGUGAAAGUCAAAGGCUCAACCUUUGAAAGCCGGUGGAUACUGUGGGGCUAGAGUCCGGAAGAGGCGAGUGGAAUUCCUGGUGUAGCGGUGGAAUGCGCAGAUAUCAGGAGGAGCACCAAUAGCGAAGGCAGCUCGCUGGGACGGUACUGACGCUAAGGCGCGAAAGCGUGGGGAGCGAACAGG
Molecule: ribosomal RNA, 253 nt
Filed under: uncultured bacterium
Lineage: Bacteria
Description: partial 16S ribosomal RNA
Rfam family: Bacterial small subunit ribosomal RNA
Source: RNAcentral